GACGAACGCUGGCGGCGUGCAUAACACAUGCAAGUCGAACGAUGAAGAAGAGAAUGGAGACUUCGGUCAAAGUUCGCUUCGGAUUAGUGGCAGACGGGUGAGUAAUGCGUGAGCAACCUACCUCUUACAAAGGGAUAGCCAUGGGAAACCGUGAUUAAUACCAUAUGAUACAAUAACAAGGCAUCUUGAGACUGUUAAAGCUCCGGCGGUAAGAGAUGGGCUCGCGUCCCAUUAGCUAGUUGGUGAGGGUAACGGCCCACCAAGGCGACGAUGGGUAACCGGCCUGAGAGGGUGAACGGUCACAUUGGAACUGAGACACGGUCCAA
This 326-nucleotide ribosomal RNA is filed under the name uncultured bacterium. RNAcentral describes it as "bacterial SSU rRNA". It matches the Rfam family "Bacterial small subunit ribosomal RNA", at positions 28 to 334 of the family's 1533-position model. The record is from RNAcentral.